UAGGGAAUCUUCCGCAAUGGGCGAAAGCCUGACGGAGCAACGCCGCGUGAGUGAUGAAGGUCUUCGGAUCGUAAAACUCUGUUAUUAGGGAAGAACAAAUGUGUAAGUAACUAUGCACGUCUUGACGGUACCUAAUCAGAAAGCCACGGCUAACUACGUGCCAGCAGCCGCGGUAAUACGUAGGUGGCAAGCGUUAUCCGGAAUUAUUGGGCGUAAAGCGCGCGUAGGCGGUUUUUUAAGUCUGAUGUGAAGGCCCACGGCUCAACCGUGGAGGGUCAUUGGAAACUGGAAAACUUGAGUGCGGAAGAGGAAAGUAGAAUUCCAUGUGUAGCGGUGAAAUGCGCAGAGAUAUGGAGGAACACCAGUGGCGAAGGCGACUUUCUGGUCUGUAACUGACGCUGAUGUGCGAAAGCGUGGGGAUCAAACAGG
RNAcentral lists this ribosomal RNA (429 nucleotides) under Actinomycetes bacterium. RNAcentral describes it as "Actinobacteria bacterium partial 16S ribosomal RNA". It matches the Rfam family "Bacterial small subunit ribosomal RNA", at positions 355 to 776 of the family's 1533-position model. The record is from RNAcentral. Lineage: Bacteria; Bacillati; Actinomycetota; Actinomycetes.